This 81-nucleotide non-coding RNA is filed under the name Medicago truncatula (barrel medic). The record is from RNAcentral. Lineage: Eukaryota; Viridiplantae; Streptophyta; Magnoliopsida; Fabales; Fabaceae.
UUGAGCCGUAUGCGGGGGAACUCGCACGUGCGGUUCUUAGGCGGGGGGGGGGAGAGCUAGUAGGAACCAUCCUAUCCCAAU